GCAGCGUUGAUACGUUUGUUUUGAAAUGGUUACUAAAGUGUCGAGAGAUUAACUUUAUUCAUGUAAACUUUUAAUCUUGGAAAUGAUUAUAAAUUGUAUUUUUUAAACACAUAAACAUAUUGACCAUUGUCAAAAUUUAGUAAAUUUUUGUUUUGUGGGCGGGAUGUUAUGUAUCAGUAUGUAUGGUCGGAUUAUGUUUCUGUGUGAAAGAGAGAGUUGUUCCCCUUUUGUCA
RNAcentral lists this long non-coding RNA (233 nucleotides) under Mytilus galloprovincialis (Mediterranean mussel). Lineage: Eukaryota; Metazoa; Mollusca; Bivalvia; Mytilida; Mytilidae. The record is from RNAcentral.